Long non-coding RNA from Homo sapiens (human), 372 nucleotides. NCBI's taxonomy places the organism in Eukaryota, Metazoa, Chordata, Mammalia, Primates, Hominidae. The record is from Ensembl.
CCGCCAUGCCUGAGCUUCCCCCCGCCCCCGCCGUGGGCUCCUGUGCGGCCCGAGCCUCCCCGACGAGCGCCGCCCCCUGCUCCACGAUGCCCAGUCCCAUCGACCACCCAAGGGCUGAGGAGUGCGGGCUCACGGUUACAGGAUUCCCAUUUCAGAACUACGACCAUUUGAAAAAUAGAAGAUUUAAAGAUUGACGCAAAGUGCAUGUACCAUGAUACACCAGACGGAGUCUCACUCUCUCGCCCAAGCUGGAGUACAGUGGCGCAAUCUCGGCUCACUGCAAGCUCCGCCUCCCGGGUUCACACCAUUUUCCUGCCUCAGCCUCCCGAUUAGCUAGGACUACAAGCGCCCGCCACCACGCCCGGCUAAUUU